Oreochromis niloticus (Nile tilapia) is the source of this 795-nucleotide long non-coding RNA. RefSeq lists it as uncharacterized. The transcript has 2 exons. Lineage: Eukaryota; Metazoa; Chordata; Actinopteri; Cichliformes; Cichlidae. The record is from RefSeq and is a predicted model, not a curated record.
UUUAGUUAUGCAGCGAAAACGCUGAAGUCGGAGUGAUAAAACAUACGAGGGGAACGACAGCGAAGACAAGGUUCUCCAGAUCGAUUACUCUUGCUGUCCUGUGAACAGCAUUUUGUCUAUCGUGUAAUUUCAAAGACGAAACCAAAAGCGGAUCAAAUAUCAAUGUCCCCUUAUCGAUAUGUGGUUUGUGGGGAUUUUCCUUCUUCUAUAAAGCUAUUGUGUUUCAGAAUGACCUGCUUUGGAGGGCAGAGCUGGACCUUGCUUCCCCGCCUCUGAGCCCGCCCUCAACACACACCUGUGGCUCGUCUGGCUUCUCAUCACACGUAUUAUCCCUGGCAGACUACUUAUGACAGCAGAAGGCUGCUUCCUCACUGGAUCGUCACACUACCUAGUGUCAGUGUAGCCUAGCCCUUUGAGUAUUCUUUGUGAUUUCCUAGAGCUUCGUCCUAACGUUGUUUUCCCUCUGUGUACAGGCCUUCUGGGUUCCCUGCCCGUCUUCCCUGCUGUCUGGAUUCCUGUGGAUGUGUGUGAGUGAGCAUGAGCAUUCUGGAUUGGACUAUCUGAGUGAGUUGUGGAUUGAGUAGAAGAGGAAUGUGUGUGCGCCUGCCUUGGACCUUCCCUCCCCUUCGGACCCCCUGGAGUCCUGUGUUAUCCGUCUCACUGUAUAUAUGUAUAUAUCCCCACUUGGUGCCUCAUUGUAAAUAAAUCCUUCACCUUCUCUCUAAACUUCAGAGUCCUGCGAGUGAGUCCUCAGCCUAAUAAUCUGUGACAGAUACUAAGAAAUUAAAACAAAAA